Transfer RNA from Felis catus (domestic cat), 85 nucleotides. It matches the Rfam family "tRNA". From Rfam's summary of the family: Transfer RNA (tRNA) molecules are approximately 80 nucleotides in length. Their secondary structure includes four short double-helical elements and three loops (D, anti-codon, and T loops). Further hydrogen bonds mediate the characteristic L-shaped molecular structure. tRNAs have two regions of fundamental functional importance: the anti-codon, which is responsible for specific mRNA codon recognition, and the 3' end, to which the tRNAs corresponding amino acid is attached (by aminoacyl-tRNA synthetases). tRNAs cope with the degeneracy of the genetic code in two manners: having more than one tRNA (with a specific anti-codon) for a particular amino acid; and 'wobble' base-pairing, i.e. permitting non-standard base-pairing at the 3rd anti-codon position. The record is from Rfam. Lineage: Eukaryota; Metazoa; Chordata; Mammalia; Carnivora; Felidae.
GCCUGAGUGGCUCAGUGGGUUGAGCGGCUGACUUCGGCUCAGGUCAUGAUUUCACGGUUCGUGAGUUUGAGCCCCACAUCGGGCU